UACAACACUAUUGGUUGAUCAUACCAUGAUGCAAUUUAGAAUGAAAUUGAUAGGAUUAAACAAGAGAUUGAGCAUAAACAUUUGGAAAGUCAACGAUUGAUGCUGUCGGAACAUAAGGAAUUGAAUUGAUGCAAAGAGCUAUUGUGACUAUUAUGAAGAUGUAGGAGAAGAAAAAGCAAGAGUUUGAAAUUAGAUUAAGGGACGACAUCUGUAAUUUCUAAAUUCCCAAAAAAUGCAAAAUCAAAAUUCCUAUUCUUCUCAAAAUAAUUAUCCGUAUCAAAUGCAACCAUUGCGGCCUCCUCGUUUGUCGAUGUUGUCAUUUCAGUAUCCUUCUUCCUAGUAUCAACAAGGAGGACAUUAUAGACCAAGUAUGCCAAUGUCGCUGAACUAUAAUUAUAAUCGACCUGAUUUGAAUCAGCCAUCUCUGCAUUUGUAUUUUCUUGCACAAUCAUCAUCAACUGCUCCAAUUCAACCUUUAAAUCAGUCUUCUGAACCAUCUAUUCUUCUUGAUCAUGGUGAUUUAUCAUUUAAUAAUAUGUUAAAUUUUUUCUAAUAAUAGUGUGAA
This 565-nucleotide long non-coding RNA is filed under the name Cicer arietinum (chickpea). Its description in RNAcentral is "long non-coding RNA (CARI_LNC002667)". Lineage: Eukaryota; Viridiplantae; Streptophyta; Magnoliopsida; Fabales; Fabaceae. The record is from RNAcentral.